Molecule: transfer RNA, 73 nt
Filed under: Chlamydiae bacterium RIFCSPHIGHO2_12_FULL_49_11
Lineage: Bacteria; Pseudomonadati; Chlamydiota
Also listed under: 1 other name
Description: tRNA-Ala
Rfam family: tRNA
About the family: Transfer RNA (tRNA) molecules are approximately 80 nucleotides in length. Their secondary structure includes four short double-helical elements and three loops (D, anti-codon, and T loops).
Source: RNAcentral
GGGGGUUUAGCUCAGUUGGUAGAGCGUCUGAUUUGCAUUCAGAAGGUCAGGAGUUCGACCCUCCUAACCUCCA